GACGAACGCUGGCGGCGUGCUUAACACAUGCAAGUCGAACGGAAAGGCCCUGCUUGUGUGGGGUGCUCGAGUGGCGAACGGGUGAGUAACACGUGAGUAACCUGCCCUUGACUUUGGGAUAACUUCAGGAAACUGGGGCUAAUACCGGAUAGGAGCUCCUGCUGCAUGGUGGGGGUUGGAAAGUUUCGGCGGUUGGGGAUGGACUCGCGGCUUAUCAGCUUGUUGGUGGGGUAGUGGCGUACCAAGGCUUUGACGGGUAGCCGGCCUGAGAGGGUGACCGGCCACAUUGGGACUGAGAUACGGCCCAGACUCCUACGGGAGGCAGCAGUGGGGAAUAUUGCACAAUGGGCGGAAGCCUGAUGCAGCAACGCCGCGUGCGGGAUGACGGCCUUCGGGUUGUAAACCGCUUUCGCCUGUGACGAAGCGUGAGUGACGGUAAUGGGUAAAGAAGCACCGGCUAACUACGUG
Molecule: ribosomal RNA, 468 nt
Filed under: uncultured bacterium
Lineage: Bacteria
Description: partial 16S ribosomal RNA
Rfam family: Bacterial small subunit ribosomal RNA
Source: RNAcentral